AUAUUAAAGAGUUAGUUGCCUU
This 22-nucleotide non-coding RNA is filed under the name Arabidopsis thaliana (thale cress). The record is from RNAcentral. Lineage: Eukaryota; Viridiplantae; Streptophyta; Magnoliopsida; Brassicales; Brassicaceae.